This 221-nucleotide ribosomal RNA is filed under the name uncultured bacterium. Its description in RNAcentral is "partial 16S ribosomal RNA". It matches the Rfam family "Bacterial small subunit ribosomal RNA", at positions 129 to 334 of the family's 1533-position model. The record is from RNAcentral. RNAcentral also lists the same sequence under 1 other name.
CCCUUCAGAGGGGGACAACAGUUGGAAACGACUGCUAAUACCGCAUACGAUCCAAUCUCGGCAUCGAGACUGGAUGAAAGGUGGCCUCUAUUUAUAAGCUAUCACUGAAGGAGGGGAUUGCGUCUGAUUAGCUAGUUGGAGGGGUAACGGCCCACCAAGGCGAUGAUCAGUAGCCGGUCUGAGAGGAUGAACGGCCACAUUGGGACUGAGACACGGCCCAG